Monodelphis domestica (gray short-tailed opossum) is the source of this 1649-nucleotide long non-coding RNA. Lineage: Eukaryota; Metazoa; Chordata; Mammalia; Didelphimorphia; Didelphidae. The record is from Ensembl.
AGUUCCUUGAUUCCUAGGCUAAUUCAUCUGACAACAGCUGAAGGAGAUCUUUGCAUCUCACAAUCUCUAUCCUCUGUUUUUUAAAGUUUUCUGGUAGAGAAUGUAAAUUCUGAUGAGAAGAACAGCUCUCCCCCUCUUUUCCAUUUCCUUCUUCCAAGGCUGUGGUGUAAGCUGCACUGACUCUAUCAUCCAGGAAGACAAGAGAAAAAUUGGAUUUUGGGGACAGAAACUCGGCAUCUCAGUAAUUGUCAGGACAAGGGAGCUAAGAUUGGCACAGCUUCUGUUCCUUUCUACCAGGAAUUUUACAAGGCAUACAUUAGAGAGAAGAGGAGAUCACAGAAGAUCAUUUUUUUUCCAUAUCAUGAAGGCCUUUAGGACAUAGCAAUAACAGCAAGAUACUUUGUUAAAUGCUGAAGAUACAAAGACAAAAAUGAAAUGACUCGUCCUCAAGAAGCUUAUGUUCUAAAGGAGAAGGGAAAAUAUGCACAUAAAAAGGUAUGGGAGGAACAUGGGAUUUCCAUUUACUCAGUUGAUAUAGAAACUGAAGGUGAUGUGAAUUACUCAGUAUUAGUUAACUAAACAAAUUAAGUAUCAUAUCCAGACUCCAACUCAGCUUUUCUAUCUCCUAGGACCAAUGUGUUUCUUUUUUCUAUUACCACAAUUCCUUUCUAAGUGGAAGGCAAGGAAGAGAACAUGAAUUGUAAAAUGUCAGAAAACAAUUAUUAAAAAUUGUAUCAUCAUGAAAUCUAGAAAAAAAGAAAAAUGUCCUAAAAAAGGUAAAACGAUUGGAAAUCCUAAAAACAAAAUGAUGACCUUGUCUCAGCUGCUGCCUUUCCUUCUGACAAGAGAUAGAAGUUAUGCACCUUGAGUUUCUCACUUCCACUUCCCUUUAACUGGACUUUGUGCCAAACCAGCUAGGAAGGAUUUCAUCUUGAAACAGUGAUAAGGCUCCAAGCCCUGGGUCCAUAGGCUUUGCUCUAAUCCUCCAGCCUGGGAAAAUUAGUCACCUAGAAAACACCCAAACACAGCAGUACUUUUCCACCUAGCCCAAGUGAAAACUUAGAAUUGUCCAGCACUUAGAAUGUGGUGGUUGCCAUUAUUAGAGCAUAUUACCAGCUGAUUGGUCAAGUCCCUAGUAAUCAGGAUUCUGGGAGAUGGAGAGGGGACACAUAAUCAUCCAGGCUGUGCAUCAUGAGAUAGCUUGGAACAAAAGAAAGUAUGCUGAUUCUGGAGCUAGAGGAGGUGGGGUCAAAUCCCCUCCCUGCUGUGUACUAGUUGGAUGUCCUCAAGGGAGUCAUUUGAUUUCUUCAGACCUCAGUUAACUCAUCUGUAAAACAAGGACACUGAACUGUGUGACAUGAACUCACUCCUCAUGGGGACUCUUGGUUUAUAUCUGUUUCUCUUUGUGCCUAAGAUAAACUUUGCUUUAUUCCAUAAAUUCCAUUUCCUCUUAAUUUGAAGCUAAGCAUCCAUGCUUGUCCAUCAGACUACAUGCCCAUAAUGAGAUUGAAAGAGUACCUAAAUGAGGCAUAGCCGACAUAGGUUUUAGGGUUGGCUCUGUUGCUAAUGAGUCAUGUAAUCUCUCUCUUGGUCUCAGUUUCCUUUUUCUAUAAAAUAAAGGUUAAAAAUAAAAUACCUUUUAUGAUUCC